CAUCAGUGAUCCCCAACAAGUAGCUCGCGAGCAACAUGUUGCUCACCAACCCAUUGGAUGUUGCUCCCAGUGGCCUCAAAACAGGUACUUAUUUUUGAAUUCCAGGCUUGGAGGCAAGUUUUGGUUGCUUAAAACCCAGCUGUUCUGCCAAAUAGAGCCUCCUGUCGGCUACAAUCUAUAUAAGGGCUACCAAACGGCCAAUAACAGCCCUGACUUGACAUCCCCAUGGAGUUUUUAAUGCUUGUGUUGCUCCCCAACUUUUUACAUUCAAAUGUUUCUCACGAGUAAAAAAGGUUGGGGACCCCUGCUCUACAUCAUACUAAAAGUUAAUGUAAAAAACCCUUUUAAAAGCCUUUAUUUUUACAUCAAAGGCAACAGCUAGCAUUAGUAGACGAGAGCCUGGCUUUCUAUGAGUUUGACUCCCGAGUUGGAGGGUUUGCAGCUAGUCUUGUGCAAUGUUUUUUAAGAAAGUUUUUCCACCAACAAAUUUUGUGUCAUAUACAAUUACAAUAACCUAUUCCUCACCAAAGCCUCAGGCUGCAAUAAGUGCCCUUUGUACUAAUCAGGAAGUAAAAUUGACUCAUUGCUUAGGUCUGAAGAAUGAAGAGUUUUCAUGAUCAAAGUUUCUUGAUUUGUUGGCUUUACAGAUUCAUUUUAACUUAAUGGCUGAUUCUUAAAUGAAGCAUUCCUGUCCAAGCUGGUUUCGGAUCCACCUAAAAUACCUUGCCCCCACCCUUGCUCUUGGAAUUUAAAGGAAAACAUGGCUACAGAGACUUUCCUUAAAUCUUACAGCAAGCUGGAAUACUAUAUGUACCCGCUAAGCAAUCUUUAUCAUAUUUUCAGUGCUUGGGAAUCAAAGGCAAUGACACCAUCAGCAGCAAUUCUUUCUUUUUUGUAACCAUUUGUGUGCAAUAAAAACCUUUAGUUCUGUGUGUAGUAUCUACACAGCAGGGGGUACAGUUUAAUCUUAUUGAUGCAGGGCUGCAGGCAAGAUUUAAGACAAAACAUUGUACAGGUAGUUGACAAUUUGUUGGAAAUAAACUGUACUUAUGAGAAAGUCUUAUUGUAACAUCCUGAAUCAGUGCUUUAAGUAAAGUGAUGUCCCUUAAUGAAAUGUCAUGAAGAAUAACACUGGAAAAGUGAUUGUUUUAUCACCCAGUAAGGGAUUGUAUACUACAUAAAAAGCUAUAAAUGUGUCUGCAGUUAUGUCUUUCUCCUCUCUCAGGUGAAACAAAAUGGAAUGUGCUGAACUAACCUGACACUACAGCUGCAUAGAGAUACAGUAGCAUUCUCAGUGUUCGGGGAUUUACCGAAUACACACACCACUUAAUACAUAUUUAAUUAAGCAGGGCUAUUAGGCUAUAGCCUGCACAUGGCAAUGAUAGCUAACUCAUUUAAUAAAUUCACUGCCGCAAUUUUGCUUUCAUUAGUCCGUGGUGCUCGCAGAACGCUUUAUCACUAUUUAUAGCCAUCAUUUGUAUUAUGUAUGAAGCUUUUUUUUUCUUAGCACCAGAUUAGUCACCACUGAGUGGACCUAUGUUUAGAUUGCCCUUUAACUUGUUGAUUGUCCUCCAGUCUGUGGUCUAUUGACAGUUGUAACGUGCACCAUGGUGUGUAUUAUUCUGCCUGCCAUAGCCAAAAGUGGGGGUUCCCUAAUAAUCUGAAAGCCCUAAAACAAUGAUUUGAUGGAUAGUGUAAGAAAAUGAGAAACAGCUGUGUCCGAUAUAUGGACAAGGCAGGCAUUUAGAGGGGUAUGUGCAUGCAGUUCAUAAAGAACCCGCCCCUGAAAUGAAAAUAAAUAGUCUAUCCCCCAAUAGAUAUGCUCCAUAUCCUAACAAAGCAGCUUUCAUUGCAAACAGGUAGAUGAAAAUGUGGGGACUAUAGCGUUCGUCUAUAAUUGAUAUUCAUGGCAACCACAUCUGAAAAGCAGUGCAUGCAAUUGGAAAUCUAGGAUGCUCUACUCUUAAAUAUAUAUUAGUUAGUGUUCCAAAAUGUUAUGUGUAUGGACAGAAUCUUUUAUAGGUUUUUCAGUAGAAGCCUUUGACUUGAAGAAAACAUCUUUUGAGUAGUGCUAACCUGCAAUAAGUCAUCCGUAAAACAAAAUAUUUCUGCCGUAGCUGCUUUAUGUGUACGGGGCAUGCAUUUUCUGAAGACUUGCUGCUAUGCAUUUUAGUGGAGUUGCCAUAUUGCUUCAGCAGUAAAGAUGAACAUUAGCUUAUUAAUAAAUAACAUCGCCAUGUGAAGCCACUAGUGGUGCUAUUGCUAAUGUCUGUGGAGAAUCGAGGCAGCAGUGUGUCAGCUCCUAGGAAUAUAUAAUGCAUAUAUACAAAGAAAUUAUGUUCUGGAACCAGUCAAUUGUGUGUUCAAGUCUAAACAUACAGUAUAAAGAGAGUAUCUUUCUCUCUCUUGUUCCAGAGAGGGUUCGUGCAUACUUCGUUCUAUCUCUGGUGACAUACGGGUUGCAAAUCUGACUCCUGCAAAAAUUGGUCUCACUUAUUUUUACUUUUCUUUUAGUCUCUUAUAGUACUUAAAUCAAGAGCAGUUUACAUGUAGAAAUGAAGCAGAGGAGGUGACAUAUGGGUUGCAAAUCUGACUCCUGCAAAAAUUGGUCUCACUUAUUUUUACUUUUCUUUUAGUCAUAUCCUGCAGGGAACUUUAAUUUUGUUAGCAUAUAUAUUGGGAAAGUGAGCAACAAUCUAAUAUUGUGCUCUUUGCAAUAAAUCAGCACAGUACAUCAGCUUUUUUUAUGGCACUUUGACCACUGAAAUGCAGCGUUUUUUUUUUUUUUUUUUUUUACCUUGUUUAAUUUUAUUUUGUAUAAUUUCUGUUUCGGGAGUGAUGUCAUCCAUUGGGUGAAUGAUACCGUUGUGUAGAAGAAUGUUCCUGUCAUAUGUAAUCCUGAUAUAUAAAAUGCCAUUUACACGUGGUCUCCCACUUACCCUCCCCUUUCAAACACCACAACAAGAAAAGCAAUGUUUUCACAACUGGAAAAAUGUAAGUCCGUUUUUUGUGCUUUGUAUUCUCUCAAAUGCCAGGCUGACUGGUGGAGAAGUUUAAUGUGGAAACUAUUCAAUAAACUGUGUUUUUAGAUAAAA
Xenopus laevis (African clawed frog) is the source of this 3095-nucleotide long non-coding RNA. RefSeq lists it as uncharacterized. The transcript has 2 exons. Lineage: Eukaryota; Metazoa; Chordata; Amphibia; Anura; Pipidae. The record is from RefSeq and is a predicted model, not a curated record.